GAUGAACGCUGGCGGCGUGCCUAAUACAUGCAAGUCGAGCGAACAGACGAGGAGCUUGCUCCUCUGACGUUAGCGGCGGACGGGUGAGUAACACGUGGAUAACCUACCUAUAAGACUGGGAUAACUUCGGGAAACCGGAGCUAAUACCGGAUAAUAUAUUGAACCGCAUGGUUCAAUAGUGAAAGACGGUUUUGCUGUCACUUAUAGAUGGAUCCGCGCCGCAUUAGCUAGUUGGUAAGGUAACGGCUUACCAAGGCAACGAUGCGUAGCCGACCUGAGAGGGGGAUCGGCCACACUGGAACGGAGACACGGUCCAGACUCCUACGGGAGGCAGCAGUAGGGAAUCUUCCGCAAAGGGCGAAAGCCUGACGGAGCAACGCCGCGUGAGUGAUGAAGGUCUUCGGAUCGUAAAACUCUGUUAUUAGGGAAGAAAAAAUGUGUAAGUAACUAUGCACGUCUUGACGGUACCUAAUCAGAAAGCCACGGCUAACUACGUG
RNAcentral lists this ribosomal RNA (497 nucleotides) under uncultured bacterium. Its description in RNAcentral is "partial 16S ribosomal RNA". It matches the Rfam family "Bacterial small subunit ribosomal RNA", at positions 28 to 507 of the family's 1533-position model. The record is from RNAcentral.